CUACGGCAUUUUGGCAUUUAUCGAAUGAUGCCAGAAACCGAGAACGGAUUGCGUUACAUGGCGGUGUUGAAGCCUUGAAGAGAGCAGCUGGUGCUCUAUGGGGACUUUCGGUUUCAGAAGCCAAUAGAUGCAUAUAGAGGAUCUCAAAGUCAGUUUUGCACUUUUGCUAUUUUCUUAGAGCGAUAA
Molecule: long non-coding RNA, 186 nt
Organism: Helianthus annuus (common sunflower)
Lineage: Eukaryota; Viridiplantae; Streptophyta; Magnoliopsida; Asterales; Asteraceae
Exons: 3
Source: RefSeq, a predicted model, not a curated record